CUUCUUGAGGCUCUGACAGGAGCUGUCCAUCUCAAGAUCAGUAAGGAACUCCACUGAGCACAAAUCAAGAGGUAGUCCCAUCCCAGCAAGUCAGGUGACCAAAGGAAGUUGUGGCCACGCAUCUUGGACGUAACAAAUAGAAACAAUAAGCAAGAGGAUUUAUGGAGAAGGGGGUGGGAGAAAUGGAGGGCACUGUUUGCUUUUUCAUUUCGUCCCUUGGUGGGCAUCCUGGUUUGAGAAGAUGCUGUCAAAGCCUUUCAUCAUAAUGCUUACCUAUCCACUCUCUUCUUCCCACCGAUUAUGGCCAGAUGGAGAUUAUCAACCAGAGGAACUCCGAAUAGUUCGUCCGGGUGUACUAAGUCCUUUGGUAUCGGAGGAGAGAGAGUAUCACCGUGAUCGAGAGUCAACACGCCCUGGAUUCCAAUCCUGGCACCUGUCCUCUGUCAACCUCAGUUCCCUCAAAUGUAAAAUAGGGACCAACAGUACCUGUACCGUGAGCUUUUCCAGCUUCCCUCCUCCCCUCGCCCCACUCGCCAUCCAGCCCCGUUUAAGCCCACUGCUGACAGACGGACUUCCGCUCCUGCCGAAUAUCGCCCUGCCCAGCCAAGAAUAUUCUAUGCACGCCUUGUUGCUGGAAUGCAAUGCUUGGGUCAGCCUUGCCUCCUGAGUGUGGUCCCUCACUAUCAAUGGUGAAAGAAGUUGCUAUUUGUCAUGAGGGCUGGAUCCCCAAAUGCUGCACUCUCUUGGGCCAGAGAGAGCUCCUCGCAUGACUCUGACACCUGCUGAGGCCUUCAGGAUGCUGGCUCCCUCAUUGUGGCUGCACUUCUUCAUUUCGCAAGCUUCUUGGAGUGAUGAGUAUUAGGGCACAGUUUCAAAAGUAUCCCAACAGGAGAUUUUGGAGUCCACCGCUGAGUAUAAAUCUGGACAUCCCUUCCCCUAGGCAAGCUGCUUCUCCUGUAAUUGGUGCACUCAAUUUCUUGCCCCCUAUUAACACUCUUAUUUUAGUCCCAGGACUGAGCUGGCUUUUGUCAAGGGGGAGAGGGGUUGGUGUUUGUUCCUAGCACCUGUAGCCUGGCCUGAGGAUGCCCUUUUUGCCUCCUGCAACACACCCUCCUUUUUCUACAGGGCUCAGUGCUGUUUUUCAAAGAGUGCUCAUGAGGCCUUCCCAUCUUUGAGUGCAUGGAGGGAUGUGGUCCUUCCCAGGGUCCACACGCUGAGCCCGGGGUCCAGCCUGAGUAGCAGAGGUUGGUCCUGAUACUGGCUCCAUAGACAGCAGCCAGACUGUGGCCAGAGAGGGUGAAGGGAGAGGCCUGCUCAUGGCUGUUAGAGCCAUACCCUGGUAACUCAUUGUCCUGCCACCCUGAGAUUGUCCCUUCCCUCAAGGAACUCUCUAGCUAGUAGGGGAAAGAUACGUAAUACGUAAUUGAUACAUUGUGAUGGAUGCUAUCAAGCAGGUGUGCACUAAGCCCAGUGCUGGCAUGUAGGAGAAAGGAGGCUGUAUCUGCAUGGAGAGGUCAGCAAGGGCUCCCAGAGGAGGUGACAUCUAGAGUGAAUUCUCAACGAUUAGCAAGAGUGACCCAGCUAGACGGGAACGGACAAUCUAGCUAUAGUGAAUCCUUUGCACUCUCCAAGGAUCCUCUCCUCUCCUCUCCUUCUCCCUCGACCACGCUGGAGAUUCCUUGAUUAGUGGAGGCUGACUGUGACAGGCCUCCAGGGUGUUUCCAAUAGCGCAGGCAGAAGAAGAAAGUAGGGAGGGAUAAAUACAGAAACAGCUGGCUUCCAUCUUCCAAAAAUCCCCAUUCAAACUAGCCGUUUAAAAAUCUCUUCCAG
Molecule: long non-coding RNA, 1830 nt
Organism: Equus caballus (horse)
Lineage: Eukaryota; Metazoa; Chordata; Mammalia; Perissodactyla; Equidae
Source: Ensembl